Molecule: long non-coding RNA, 553 nt
Organism: Heterocephalus glaber (naked mole-rat)
Lineage: Eukaryota; Metazoa; Chordata; Mammalia; Rodentia; Bathyergidae
Source: Ensembl
UUUGCCAAAAUCAGAUUUUCCAGCCUGUGAAUGUGUCUGUGUGCCUGCAUGCAGAGCUCUGAGAACUACUCCAGUGGCAGUGCGUGUUCGGCUGGGUGAGCUCUGGAGCUGGCUAUGGGCCUGACAGGCCCUGAGCUUCUGGUGUUGGAUGCUGUGCUCAGGCAUACAGCAAGAGGCUAUUACAGUAUCAUGGGGAGACCACGCUGCCCAACCAGGACCUCAGCCCCCAUCGGCUCUUCUUCCUAAGCUAUGCCCAGGUAGGCAGCUGCCCACUCCUUCCACAGCUUGCUUCUUCUCAGAGAAGAAUCCCAUGACUAAUGCUCCAAGGAAUUUCCUCCCUGAUACACACUCCCUAAAGACUCCCUCCAUCACUCAACCGCUGCCACAGAUGCCCCUACUGUCCUCUUAGCUAUCCCCUUAGAAUCAUCCUGCAGGUUAUUGCUAAUUCUUUGACCAAAUUCAAAAUCCCCCCCCCCCCCCCGCCUGCCGCAGCCAAAAAAAGAGCUACUAGUUCCUUCUGUGAGGUGGGUGGAGUUUUCUUCUGUCAUGCCCU